CUAAAUCUCAUCUAGAAUAAUUAAAGAAAUGAAUGACAAAGCGAGGACAAAGUCCUAUAAAAGUGCGGCUGGUGGAAGAAGUGGCAGACAGACUGCAAACUCUUAACAAUGAAGGUCUUCGUUGCUCUUUGCCUCCUGUGUAUCGUCAUGGUUCAUUCGGUAGAUCCAGAUUGCGAGAAAAAGGUAGUACCCUGCACUCUGGAAUACUAUCCCUUGUGUGGGUCUGACGGUCGCACCUACGGCAACUGGUGUACCUUCAAAGCCCAGCUGCAGUUGUGCAACCCUAAACUUGAGCUUUCUCACUGCGGGGAGUGUCGCAAAAGCUAAAAAGACAACAGAUGGACUGACAACUUGCUGUCUAUGUAUUACAUUACCGGAACACACAGUCACCUGAUUCUGGCCAUGUUCACUGUACACAAAGUGGUUUGAUAUACACGGUCAAGAUUUGUGUGGUCUAGUAUUGAAGCUGCACUGAACAUGUUUGUCAAGAAAAUUUUGAAGCUUGAAAGGAGCAAGAAAAAAUAAAGUAUUACAUUGAAAUUACCA
Molecule: long non-coding RNA, 546 nt
Organism: Pomacea canaliculata
Lineage: Eukaryota; Metazoa; Mollusca; Gastropoda; Architaenioglossa; Ampullariidae
Exons: 3
Source: RefSeq, a predicted model, not a curated record